Molecule: ribosomal RNA, 253 nt
Filed under: uncultured bacterium
Lineage: Bacteria
Description: partial 16S ribosomal RNA
Rfam family: Bacterial small subunit ribosomal RNA
Source: RNAcentral
GACAGAGGUGCCGAGCGUUAGGCGGAAUCACUGGGCUUAAAGCGUGUGUAGGCGGGUGCGUAAGUAACUUGUGAAAUCCCACGGCUCAACCGUGGAACUGCUUGGUAUACUGCGGGUCUUGAGCCACUUAGGGGCAAGCGGAACAAACGGUGGAGCGGUGAAAUGCGUAGAUAUCGUUUGGAACGCCAAUGGUGAAAACAGCUUGCUGGGAGUGUGCUGACGCUGAGACACGAAAGCCAGGGGAGCAAACAGG